UGGGGAAUAUUGCGCAAUGGGGGCAACCCUGACGCAGCAACGCCGCGUGCAGGAAGAAGGUCUUCGGAUUGUAAACUGUUGUCGCAGGGGAAGAAGACAGUGACGGUACCCUGUGAGAAAGUCACGGCUAACUACGUGCCAGCAGCCGCGGUAAUACGUAGGUGACAAGCGUUGUCCGGAUUUACUGGGUGUAAAGGGCGCGUAGGCGGACUGUCAAGUCAGUCGUGAAAUACCGGAGCUCAACUCCGGAGCUGCGAUUGAAACUGACAGCCUUGAGUAUCGGAGAGGAAAGCGGAAUUCCUAGUGUAGCGGUGAAAUGCGUAGAUAUUAGGAGGAACACCAGUGGCGAAGGCGGCUUUCUGGACGACAACUGACGCUGAGGCGCGAAAGUGUGGGGAGCAAACAGG
RNAcentral lists this ribosomal RNA (407 nucleotides) under uncultured bacterium. RNAcentral's name for it is "bacterial SSU rRNA". It matches the Rfam family "Bacterial small subunit ribosomal RNA", at positions 355 to 776 of the family's 1533-position model. The record is from RNAcentral.